CGGAACACGUACAGAACCUUCCUUUAAGCGGGGGAGUAGCCCGGAGAAAUCCGGAUUAAUACCCCAUGGUAAUGUUGGGUGGCAUCACCUGAUAUUUAAAGAUUUAUCACUUAGAGAUGGCUGUGCGGCUGAUUAGGUAGUUGGUGCGGGUAAAGGCCCACCAAGCCAGCGAUCAGUAACUGGCGUGAGAGCACGACCAGUCACACGGGCACUGAGACACGGGUCCG
RNAcentral lists this ribosomal RNA (227 nucleotides) under uncultured bacterium. Its description in RNAcentral is "partial 16S ribosomal RNA". It matches the Rfam family "Bacterial small subunit ribosomal RNA", at positions 109 to 334 of the family's 1533-position model. The record is from RNAcentral.